RNAcentral lists this ribosomal RNA (426 nucleotides) under uncultured bacterium. RNAcentral's name for it is "bacterial SSU rRNA". It matches the Rfam family "Bacterial small subunit ribosomal RNA", at positions 355 to 774 of the family's 1533-position model. The record is from RNAcentral.
UGGGGAAUCUUGCGCAAUGGGCGAAAGCCUGACGCAGCGACGCCGCGGGAGUGAUGAAGGCCUUCGGGUUGUAAAGCUCUGUGGGGAGAGAAGAAUAAGUCGUAGGGAAUAUCUACGAUGAUGACGGUAUCUCCUUAGCAAGCACCGGCUAACUCUGUGCCAGCAGCCGCGGUAAGACAGAGGGUGCAAACGUUGUUCGGAAUUACUGGGCGUAAAGCGUGUGUAGGCGGUGAGGUAAGUCAGGUGUGAAAUCCCACGGCUCAACCAUGGAAGUGCACUUGAAACUGCUUCGCUUGAGUACUGGAGAGGUUGGUGGAAUUCUUGGUGUAGAGGUGAAAUUCGUAGAUAUCGAGAGGAACACCCGUGGCGAAGGCGGCUUUCUGGACAGCGAUUGACGCUGAGACGCGAAAGCGUGGGGAGCAAACA